This 823-nucleotide ribosomal RNA is filed under the name Citrobacter freundii. RNAcentral's name for it is "partial 23S ribosomal RNA". It matches the Rfam family "Bacterial large subunit ribosomal RNA", at positions 1 to 867 of the family's 2925-position model. The record is from RNAcentral. Lineage: Bacteria; Pseudomonadati; Pseudomonadota; Gammaproteobacteria; Enterobacterales; Enterobacteriaceae.
GGUUAAGCGACUAAGCGUACACGGUGGAUGCCCUGGCAGUCAGAGGCGAUGAAGGACGUGCUAAUCUGCGAUAAGCGUCGGUAAGGUGAUAUGAACCGUUAUAACCGGCGAUUUCCGAAUGGGGAAACCCAGUGUGAUUCGUCACACUAUCAUUACGUGAAUACAUAGCGUAAUGAAGCGAACCGGGGGAACUGAAACAUCUAAGUACCCCGAGGAAAAGAAAUCAACCGAGAUUCCCCCAGUAGCGGCGAGCGAACGGGGAGCAGCCCAGAGUCUGAAUCAGCUUGUGUGUUAGUGGAACGGUCUGGAAAGUCCGACGGUACAGGGUGAUAGUCCCGUACACCAAAAUGCACAGGUUGUGAACUCGAAGAGUAGGGCGGGACACGUGGUAUCCUGUCUGAAUAUGGGGGGACCAUCCUCCAAGGCUAAAUACUCCUGACUGACCGAUAGUGAACCAGUACCGUGAGGGAAAGGCGAAAAGAACCCCGGCGAGGGGAGUGAAAAAGAACCUGAAACCGUGUACGUACAAGCAGUGGGAGCCUCUUUAUGGGGUGACUGCGUACCUUUUGUAUAAUGGGUCAGCGACUUAUAUUCUGUAGCAAGGUUAACCGUAUAGGGGAGCCGAAGGGAAACCGAGUCUUAACUGGGCGUUAAGUUGCAGGGUAUAGACCCGAAACCCGGUGAUCUAGCCAUGGGCAGGUUGAAGGUUGGGUAACACUAACUGGAGGACCGAACCGACUAAUGUUGAAAAAUUAGCGGAUGACUUGUGGCUGGGGGUGAAAGGCCAAUCAAACCGGGAGAUAGCUGGUUCUCCCCGAAAGCU